AUUGAACGCUGGCGGCAGGCCUAACACAUGCAAGUCGAACGGUAACAGGAAGAAGCUUGCUUCUUUGCUUUAGCGUGGCGGGCGGGUGUGUCAUGUCUGUGACACUGCUUUAUGGCUGGGGAUACUUACUGGAACCGGUAGCUAAUCCCGCAUAACGUCGCAACCCCAUGGAUCGGGAGCUUCGGGCCUCUUGCCAUCGGCUGUUCCCUGAUGGGAUUAGCUAGUAGGUGGGGUAACGGCUCACCUAGGCGACGAUCCCUAGCUGGUCUGAGAGGGUGACCGGCCACACUGGAACUGAGACACGGUCCAGACUCCUACGGGAGGCAGCAGUGGGGAAUAUUGCGCAAUGGGCGCAAGCCUGAUGGAGCCACGCCGCGUGUAUGAAGAAGGCCUUCGGAUUGUAAAGUACUUUCAGCGGGGAAGAAGAGAGGAAAGAGAAUACCUGUGCACAUUGACGUUACCCGCAGAAAAAGCACCGGCUAACUCCGUG
RNAcentral lists this ribosomal RNA (490 nucleotides) under uncultured bacterium. RNAcentral's name for it is "partial 16S ribosomal RNA". It matches the Rfam family "Bacterial small subunit ribosomal RNA", at positions 30 to 507 of the family's 1533-position model. The record is from RNAcentral.